GAUGAACGCUGGCGGCGUGCCUAACACAUGCAAGUCGAACGAGAUGCGUAUUGGAAAGCUUCGGCCGGAAGAUACGUUAUCUAGUGGCGGACGGGUGAGUAACACGUGGGUAACCUGCCUUAUGGAGGGGGAUAACAGAGAGAAAUCACUGCUAAUACCGCAUAAGCACACAGUACCGCAUGGUACAGGGUGAAAAGAUUUAUCACCAUAAGAUGGACCCGCGUCUGAUUAGCCAGUUGGCAGGGUAAAAGCCUACCAAAGCAACGAUCAGUAGCCGAUCUGAGAGGAUGACCGGCCACAUUGGGACUGAGAAACGGCCCAAACUCCUACGGGAGGCAGCAGUGGGGAAUAUUGCACAAUGGGGGAAACCCUGAUGCAGCGACGCCGCGUGAGUGAAGAAGUAUUUCGGUAUGUAAAGCUCUAUCAGCAGGGAAGAUAAUGACAGUACCUGACUAAGAAGCCCCGGCUAACUACGUGCCAGCAGCCGCGGUAAUACGUAGGGGGCAAGCGUUAUCCGGAUUUACUGGGUGUAAAGGGAGCGUAGACGGAAUGGCAAGUCUGAAGUGAAAUACCCGGGCUCAACCUGGGAACUGCUUUGGAAACUGUUGUUCUAGAGUGUUGGAGAGGUAAGUGGAAUUCCUGGUGUAGCGGUGAAAUGCGUAGAUAUCAGGAAGAACACCGGAGGCGAAGGCGGCUUACUGGACAAUAACUGACGUUGAGGCUCGAAAGCGUGGGGAUCAAACAGG
This 746-nucleotide ribosomal RNA is filed under the name uncultured Oribacterium sp. RNAcentral describes it as "bacterial SSU rRNA". It matches the Rfam family "Bacterial small subunit ribosomal RNA", at positions 28 to 776 of the family's 1533-position model. The record is from RNAcentral. Lineage: Bacteria; Bacillati; Bacillota; Clostridia; Lachnospirales; Lachnospiraceae.